UGAGGCGGAUGCUCCGAGGGGCCUUCUUGCUUCGGGCAUGUUGAUGUGGAGGAGCUGGUACUGAUACUGACGGUCUCACUAUUGCUAGCCGAACUAUCGACGAAGCGAAGACGGCGACCCGCAAGAUUCGGCGCGAAGGAC
Molecule: non-coding RNA, 141 nt
Organism: Caenorhabditis elegans
Lineage: Eukaryota; Metazoa; Nematoda; Chromadorea; Rhabditida; Rhabditidae
Source: Ensembl